AAAUUCAUUGACACCGUUGGCUUCCAUCCAAUGAAGUUUUGAAAUCUCAAAAUUUUCAAUUGUCUUACUUCCAAGUUUUUCCUUUUAUCUUCCUCACACAUUGAAGAAACUCUAACAAAAGAAUGAUGUAUUGUUAGCCUCUCUAUGUUACUCCGAACACCAACAAUGAAUAGAAAGGGCAAUAAAAAAAAGAAAGUCAUGAAUCAAUUAGGCAAUCUUAAAGCAGGAUGACAGUCGCAAUUCCAUUACAGAUUGGUUGGUUAUCAUCUGAUUGAUAUAAAGCAUCUACCUGACUUUAUAGUUAAACGAUAGCAAAGCAAUGGGCUUUUUAAGUUGCUUUUUAUGGUCAAGUAAAUUUUCCAGACCUGCAAUUGCAAUGCACUUCAUAUGUGCUCAAGAUCCUAGUAUCAUGUUGACUUCAUAGCCAAACUCUAGUGGCACAAGCAAUGAGAAACCAGAAGUUAGGGGGAUCGGGGUAGGUACGGUAAGCUUAGGUUUGGUUAGAUAAUGAUGAUGUAUUUCAUCUACAAUUUGAUAUACACUUACAAAUGUAGUUGUAUUUAUACAUUGAUUUGGUGUAAACAAAUAAAAUUUAUGGAUACAACAAAGUUAUAUAAA
Coffea arabica (coffee) is the source of this 618-nucleotide non-coding RNA. Lineage: Eukaryota; Viridiplantae; Streptophyta; Magnoliopsida; Gentianales; Rubiaceae. The record is from RefSeq and is a predicted model, not a curated record.